GAUGAACGCCGGCGGUGUGCAUAAUACAUGCAAGUCGAACGCGUUGGCCCAACUGAUUGACGAUGCUUGCAUCCGAUUGACGUUGGAUUUCCAACGAGUGGGCGGACGGGUGAGUAACACGUAGGUAACCUGCCCAGAAGCGGGGGAUAACAUCUGGAAACAGGUGCUAAUACCGCAUAACAAUUCAAAUCGCAUGGUUUGAAUUUAAGAGAUGGCUCUGCUAUCACUUCUGGAUGGACCUGCGGCGCAUUAGCUUGUUGGUAGGGUAAUGGCCUACCAAGGCAGUGAUGCGUAGCCGAGUUGAGAGACUGAUCGGCCACAAUGGGACUGAGACACGGCCCAUACUCCUACGGGAGGCAGCAGUAGGGAAUCUUCCACAAUGGGCGCAAGCCUGAUGGAGCAACACCGCGUGAGUGAAGAAGGGUUUCGGCUCGUAAAGCUCUGUUGUUGAAGAAGAACGUGCAUGAGAGUAACUGUUCAUGCAGUGACGGUAUUCAACCAGAAAGUCACGGCUAACUACGUGCCAGCAGCCGCGGUAAUACGUAGGUGGCAAGCGUUAUCUGGAUUUAUUGGGCGUAAAGAGAGUGCAGGCGGUUUCUUAAGUCUGAUGUGAAAGCCUUCGGCUCAACCGAAGAAGUGCAUCGGAAACUGGGAGACUUGAGUACAGAAGAGGGCAGUGGAACUCCAUGUGUAGCGGUGGAAUGCGUAGAUAUAUGGAAGAACACCAGUGGCGAAGGCGGCUGCCUGGUCUGUAACUGACGCUGAGACUCGAAAGCAUGGGUAGCGAACAGG
RNAcentral lists this ribosomal RNA (792 nucleotides) under uncultured Lactobacillus sp. RNAcentral's name for it is "bacterial SSU rRNA". It matches the Rfam family "Bacterial small subunit ribosomal RNA", at positions 28 to 776 of the family's 1533-position model. The record is from RNAcentral. Lineage: Bacteria; Bacillati; Bacillota; Bacilli; Lactobacillales; Lactobacillaceae.